RNAcentral lists this ribosomal RNA (400 nucleotides) under uncultured bacterium. Its description in RNAcentral is "bacterial SSU rRNA". It matches the Rfam family "Bacterial small subunit ribosomal RNA", at positions 28 to 457 of the family's 1533-position model. The record is from RNAcentral.
GACGAACGCUGGCGGCGUGCCUAACACAUGCAAGUCGAGGGUAGCAAUACACUGGCGCACGGGUGAGUAACGCGUAGGUAAUCUGCCCUUAUCCCAGACAUAACAUCGAGAAAUUGGUGCUAAAAUCUGAUGAGGCCUGAGGGUCAAAGUAUUCGUACGGAUAAGGAUGAGCCUGCGUCUGAUUAGCUAGUUGGUAAGGUAAUGGCUUACCGAGGCAACGAUCAGUAGCUGGUUUGAGAGGACGAUCAGCCACACUGGAACUGAGACACGGUCCAGACUCCUACGGGAGGCAGCAGUGAGGAAUUUUGCACAAUGGGGGCAACCCUGAUGCAGCGACGCCGCGUGCGGGAAGACGGAGCUUUGCUCUGUAAACCGCUGUCGUAUGGGAAGAGAAGAUUCU